Molecule: ribosomal RNA, 634 nt
Filed under: Salmonella enterica subsp. enterica serovar Braenderup
Lineage: Bacteria; Pseudomonadati; Pseudomonadota; Gammaproteobacteria; Enterobacterales; Enterobacteriaceae
Description: partial 23S ribosomal RNA
Rfam family: Bacterial large subunit ribosomal RNA
Source: RNAcentral
GGGUUGUGAGGUUAAGCGACUAAGCGUACACGGUGGAUGCCCUGGCAGUCAGAGGCGAUGAAGGGCGUGCUAAUCUGCGAUAAGCGCCGGUAAGGUGAUAUGAACCGUUAUAACCGGCGAUACCCGAAUGGGGAAACCCAGUGUGAUUCGUCACACUAUCAUUAACUGAAUCCAUAGGUUAAUGAGGCGAACCGGGGGAACUGAAACAUCUAAGUACCCCGAGGAAAAGAAAUCAACCGAGAUUCCCCCAGUAGCGGCGAGCGAACGGGGAGGAGCCCAGAGCCUGAAUCAGCAUGUGUGUUAGUGGAAGCGUCUGGAAAGGCGCGCGAUACAGGGUGACAGCCCCGUACACAAAAGCGCAUGUGCUGUGAGCUCGAUGAGUAGGGCGGGACACGUGGUAUCCUGUCUGAAUAUGGGGGGACCAUCCUCCAAGGCUAAAUACUCCUGACUGACCGAUAGUGAACCAGUACCGUGAGGGAAAGGCGAAAAGAACCCCGGCGAGGGGAGUGAAAAAGAACCUGAAACCGUGUACGUACAAGCAGUGGGAGCACAGGUUUACCUGUGUGACUGCGUACCUUUUGUAUAAUGGGUCAGCGACUUAUAUUCUGUAGCAAGGUUAACCGUAUAGGGGAGC